Long non-coding RNA from Carassius auratus (goldfish), 122 nucleotides. RefSeq lists it as uncharacterized. NCBI's taxonomy places the organism in Eukaryota, Metazoa, Chordata, Actinopteri, Cypriniformes, Cyprinidae. The record is from RefSeq and is a predicted model, not a curated record. The transcript is spliced from 3 exons.
AAUAUGACCGCUUGCUGUGAGAGACAACGGGACAGGUGAGACGCACGUGUGUUUAUCUGCUGCAGAGAGACUGAUGAAGAAAUGAUGCCAUCAAAGGAUUUGUAUCUUUUGUGGUGGAGCAG